RNAcentral lists this long non-coding RNA (334 nucleotides) under Phasianus colchicus (ring-necked pheasant). RNAcentral describes it as "lncRNA (ENSPCLG00000021861.1)". Lineage: Eukaryota; Metazoa; Chordata; Aves; Galliformes; Phasianidae. The record is from RNAcentral.
GUGAAGGGCUGUGUCCUACACUAAUUUUUCUCCUUAUUUAGAGUGGUGAUAGUUACUGAGGUGAGGGAAUCAGGAUAUUUCUGCACUGACAGCAUACAACCAGCAGAAGGAACAGGUGGAGAACAUUGCUCGAAGCAAUGUGCCAUGGGACUGUUGGUGCAUUGGGAAGCCUAGCUCAGAGGAGGGAAUUGCACUGUGAGUAUUAGGAUGGUUUUACUUCACAAUCAAGAAAUACAGGCUGAAAUCCUAUACUCACAGGGAAAAAAAAUGCCAUAAUUGCAAAGCAGUAAAUUUUAUUGUGAAAACAAGGAGCUGUACACACUGAAAUGCCACU